Non-coding RNA from Dermacentor albipictus, 4871 nucleotides. The record is from RefSeq and is a predicted model, not a curated record. Lineage: Eukaryota; Metazoa; Arthropoda; Arachnida; Ixodida; Ixodidae.
UAUAAGUGUAUAGACCUAACAAUAUAACUGCAGUGCGUGUCCUGAAGUGAACUAUUAACAAGACAGGCACUUGUGAACACGCGUGCAUCACAGGCGCAAAGAGAGUAGCCAACCAAAUGGGGCACACUUGGUUGCCAUUAAAGGCCAUCUGUUAUAAAUGACGUUUCUUUCUCACUUAGUGCUAGUGAUAGCGUGCAAAGCCACUUAUUGCCUGCUAUUUUUAUUGAGGAGGCAUGGAUUAUCUCCCUUUCAAGGUGGUUUCUUGUCUUCCUGAGGAAGGUCGCUUUCUCCAGCAGUGGCGCGCAACAGGUCUGCCGGGAUGGUCGGCCAAGUGGCCGCCCAUGCCGCUGUUGACCGCAGCUCUGUCGCACGAUCGUUGAAGCACCGUCCCGUUUGUCCGAUAUACACCCUGUCGCAGCUUAGGUGAAUAUUCUAUACCACAUCGCUAAAAUAAUCAGUGUAGCGUGUGGCGUGUUUCUUGGAGCAUGUAGCUGGUGUGCUGUUAUCGCCCGCCUGUGUGCGGCGUGCAACGUCACAACAGAUAGCUGGUCGACCACUGUGAUUGCCAAGCUACUUGUGACACGUGACGUCCCCAGAAUGUAUAUUAUCGGCCAGCACAAUGAACGAGGGACUUUUUCCCUUUCGUCACCCGGACCACGGCUCAUCGACUGUUCCUUCCGACACGCAUACGCGUCACGCUCGUAUGCCGUGUCACGACAUGGUGUCAGAAGUGGGCGGUGGUCAACUAUCUCGCUGAGGCCGUGGACGGCAGCAUUUCCAGAAAAUGGCGAACAAGCCCGCAACGGUAAUCCCCGGGCUCCAACAGCCACCACCGCUGGACUUUGACAAAAAGUCAGAGUGGCCGGCGUGGAUCGACCACUUCGAUGACUACCGCUUCGCCACAGCUCUCAACGAAUGUUCGGGAGAGGCCCAGACGCCAGCAACGGCCAGAAGAGUCGGUGGAUCAGUUCGCAACCGCACUUCACGUGCUGGCAGACCGCUGCGAUUUUGGGGAUAUGAAGAAGAGACUCAUCCGGGACAGGUUUGUCGUCGGGCUCCGGGACGUGCAACUAUCCGAGGCCUUGCAGAUGGAUCCGCAGCUGACAUUGGCUACGGCGCUAGCCAUGGCUCGCCUCAAGGAAACCGUGCGUCAGCAGCAGAGCCUUCGACCGGAGGGUGUCCACAUCGGGAGCCCGCCAGAACUUCAGGACCAAGGCGCCAUCGUGGACGCCGUAGGCCACCAGAAACGCCCGCAGCACAAAAAGGGACGGUGCCCCUACUGCGUCGGCGACGCGCCCCCGAGGUCGACGUGCCCAGCCAAGGCUUCCAAGUGCCACUACUGUGGUAACAAAGGACAUUUUGCGAAAGCCUGCCUUAAGAAAGUUGGGUCAGCGCAAAGAAAGGUACGCGUCUGGGCUGUCGAACAUGGUCCUGGGGAAGCUUUCAUUGGCGCGAUUGACGCGGCCGGGAAAGCGCGAUAUGUGCAGGUUCUGAUAAACUCUGUGCCUAUUCUUGCUAAUGUUGAUUCGGGUGCAGAAGUGUCGGUUCUACCUUCUACAUUUCCAGGAUUGCCCACCCACCUGGAUAACGCACACGAGGUACUACAGGGGGCUGGCGGGAACAAGCUCAAUGUUCUAGGCAAAUUUGUCGCAGAGAUUGCGUGGAAACAGGACUGUCCGACAAACGUGCUAUGUCGUUAGCCCUCUUCGCGACGUACUUCUCGGGCUGCCAGCCUUAGAGGCUUUAGGUAUCGUUAAAUUUGCCGACUCGCUCACUGCAGACAAGCAACGGUGUGAGACACUUUUUCCGCGCAUGAGUCGUAGUCUAGGCACUAUCCCAGGAGAAUACACCAUCAGGCUACAACCGGGCGCAAUUCCACAUGCCAUAACCGCUCCGCGGCGAGUGCCGAUUCCGCUCAUGGAAACGCUAAAGCACGAAAUAGACUCGUGCGCAUGGGCAUAAUUAGAAAGGUAGACGGCCCCACGGAUUGGUGCGCAGGAAUAAUACUGGUAAUGAAACAGUCGGGGGAACUGAGUAUGCGUCGACCUCACAAAGUUAAAUAAGUGCGUCGUUCGUGAACGCUUCACGCUACCUACGGUCAAUCAAGCAUUAGGCUCUCUGGUGGGUGCGAAAUGGUUUUCGAAGCUUGACGCCUUCUCGGGGUUCCAUCAAGUCCGACUAAGUAGGGACUCUGAAGAACUAACUACGUUCUUGACUCCAUUCGGGAGGUACUGUUUUACCAGACUACCGUUCGGAAUUACGUCCGCUCCGGAGUAUUUCCAGAAAAGGAUGUCAGAAAUUCUAUGGGGCCUGCCAGGUGUUGUCAACGUCAUGGAUGACAUUUUAGUGUUUGGUAAUACGAAAGCCCAGCAUGACGAACGUUUAGCUGAUGUUCUGUCACGCCUAGCUAGCGCAAACGUGACUCUGAACAAAGAUAAGUGCCUGUUCGGCGUUAAUAAACUGAAAUUUUUGGGCCAUAUUCUGAAUGAGAACGGAAUUGAGCCUGAUCCAGCGAAGGUCAGCGCUAUUAAGAAUCUAAACGCACCGAAAAACGUCGCCGAACUGAGCUUGCUCGGCAUGGCCAAUCACCUAGGUCGAUUUUUGCCUCACCUGGCGCAAACUACCGCUCCGAUGCGUGCUCUUUUGCACAAAGACAGCGAAUGGGUCUGGGGGUGUGACCAAGCAAAAGCGCUGAACGAGCUAAAAGAGCUCAUUUGUUCUGCGCAGUGCAUGGCCGUGUACGAUGCAACGCUUCCUACCAUCCUUUCAGCGGACGCAUCCUCUUUCGGACUGGGAGCUGUUCUUUUUCAAACACAGAAAAACGGUCACCGUAGACCAAUAGCUUGCGCGUAUCGUUCUCUCACGAACACAGAACGGCGAUACUUCCAGAUAGAAAAAGAAGCGCUAGCGCUGACGUGGGCAGCCGAAAGAUUUGAGGAGUACAUCCGUGGCCUAAACGUUACCUUUGAAACUGAUCACAAGCCUUUAGUGUCUUUACUGGGCCAGAUGACCAUUGAUGAUAUACCCCCUCGAAUUCAACGCUUCCGGCUACGCCUUAUGCGAUAUCUUUUCACGGUCCAGUACGUUCCCGGCAAAUCGCUAGUCACAGCCGACACCCUCUCGCGAUCGCCUGUAGCAGGCAGCGAUUCUGAAAAAGGCUUGAGUGUGUCAGAUAUCACAGCGUACUCUAAGGCGUGUUUGCUUGGCUUGGAAACGGGGGACAAUUUUUUAUCCAGAGUGAGAGAAUGUCAAAUUAAUGAUCCCGUUUGCAAACACCUGCGCAGACUGCGCAAAACCAAUUUGCCAAGGAAACCGAAUGUUCCUUCUUUCCUCAUGCCUUACUGGCAAGAUAGAGCAUGCCUUAGCAUCACUGAUGGUCUCUUGUUGAAAGGAACAAGGCUUGUAAUCCCACAGUCUCUAAGAACGGAAGUGCUGUGUAGACUACAUGAUGGGCACCAGGGUAUCGUGCGUUGUCGUAAUGUUGCUAAUGGUUCUGUCUGGUGGCCAGGAUUGAGCACCGAUCUGGCACAAUUCGUGAAUCAGUGCACUAUUUGCGCACGACAUGCCCAGCAACUAGCCGAGCCCAUCAUAGCAACCGCAACACCAUCGUUUCCUUGGGAGAGAGUGGGAGUAGAUCUGUGCGUAAUCAACGGCCAGGCAUAUCUUGUCGCCGUGGAUUAUCUUUCACGUUACCCUGGGGUAGCCAUUCUUCCUUCCACAAAGUCGGGAACGGUCAUUGAUAGACUGAAAAGUAUUUUUUCUAGGCAUGGAAUCCCUGAGUGCGUGGUGACCGACAACGGUCCUCAGUUCGUGGCAACUGAGUUUGAACAGUUUGCUAUGUCCUACGGGUUUCACCAUGUCACCGUGAGUCCGAGGCACCCGCAGGGCAACGGGGAAGUAGAGCGAAUGGUUCAGACGGUUAAGCACCUCCUUCUAAAGUCUAAAGACCCGUAUCUGGCAUUGUUGGCUUACAGGGCGACGCCCGGCAUUCUUGGGGUCAGUCCUGCGGAAAUACUUAUGGGUAGGCGACUGAGGACAAGAGUCCCAAUGCUACCACGUCAUCUAAAUCCGGGAAAAAGCAGCCCGAAAGUCGUGGCCAGAGACCAGACGGUGAGACGGCGGCAAUGCCGCUACUACAACCGACGCCAUCAGGCCAGACGGCUUCCCGAGCUAGAAGCAGGUGACUUGGUCUGGGUGACAGACAUGCAAUCCAAGGCCACAGUCCUCACACGAGCACCGAAACCGCGGCCAUAUGUGGUGCGAACAGACGACGGCGUUUGCCUCCGCAGAAACAGGAGAAUGCUUAACCGUCUCCCAAAAGAAAAGGCGCACAUGAAAACUUACGAAUUUCCAGAAACCGCGGAGCAGCCGAGCGCGGCACAAUUGGCUCAUAGCCCAGAUGGCGCUACUGCAACAGAUUCAGUGGGGCCUCCAACUCGCGCUGUGGCCAGUGGUGACCCCACUCACACUGUAACACGGUUUGGUAGACUGGUGAAGAAACCCAUCCGACUGGGCUUUGAUGAGUAGUGCUUUGGUGUUCAGUGCUCAGUGUUUUUCUAGUACAAAAUAUGUUCUGUCUUGCAUUUUCCAAUGUUCUUGUGUGGUGAAGAAAUCCAUACGACUUUGAGUGGUUUGCUGUUUUGUUUUUUUCUGGUAUAACAUAUAUUCUCUACCAUGUAUGUGCGAAUUUUCCUGUGCUUGAGAAAGAGGGAUGUGCUGUUGUCGCCCGCCUGUGUGCGGCCUGCAACGUCACGACAGAUAGCUGGUCGACCCCUGCGAUUGCCAAGCUACUUGUGACACGUAACGUCCCCAGAAUGUAUAUUAUCGGCCAGCACAAUAAACGGGGGACUUUUUCCCUUUCGUCACCCGGA